AUUGCUUUGUAGCCUUUUGGCUAAGAUCAAGUGUAAUAUCUGUUCUUAUCAAUGCAGCCAACAAGCAUAUGAGAAAAAUCUCAAUAUCACUGAUCAUUAGAGAAAUGCAAAUCAAAACCAUAAUGAUACCACCU
This is a small nuclear RNA of Callithrix jacchus (white-tufted-ear marmoset), 134 nucleotides long. Its record names the gene U2. It matches the Rfam family "U2 spliceosomal RNA". Rfam says of the family: U2 is a small nuclear RNA (snRNA) component of the spliceosome (involved in pre-mRNA splicing). The record is from Ensembl. Lineage: Eukaryota; Metazoa; Chordata; Mammalia; Primates; Cebidae.